UACAAACCUUCUACCCUUCACUGCAGCAUCUACCACUAACCUGCAAAACUGGGUUAAGGGGGAGAGGGGUGAGCUACAAGAGCCCAGUGAGUGGAAAUACAUAAAAGCAGUUAUAAAAUAUAUGUCUUCAUGAAAUGCAACACAUCACAAGUAUUGCACAUAUCUCUUUUUCCCCUGCUAGGGUAUAUCUGAUAUAAUGCUAGCAAUCUCUGGCCCUAGCGGGUUUUUAGAGGGUUCGUGUUUAUCCCUUCCCCUCAGGGUUAGACAUGACCCCAAAACUCCCUCUGUCAAUACUGUGCUCCCCAAAGAAGCAUACAUAGGGCUUUCCGGUAUGUACUCACCCAACUGACCUGACACAAUGACAGGAACAUAGGCUAAUGGGGUCGCCUGGGUCCACCCAAUCUAUUCACAUAAUCACAUAUUAUGCAAUGUCUCAUCUUCGUGCUCUCUAGUGCAAACAUCCUAUCAAUAUCAUGAUGCAUGAAGUAUGCUGAAACAUUUAUUUAAAAAUGUGAAGGUUAGUCCCACUCACCUGUGGCUGAUGCUCGACACUGACUCUGACUCUGCUGACUGCUCAGAACCUCGGGUCCAAAUCUACACAAAUGGACACGAGUAAGGUCUAAUACUAG
RNAcentral lists this long non-coding RNA (629 nucleotides) under Manihot esculenta (cassava). RNAcentral's name for it is "long non-coding RNA (MESC_LNC007690)". Lineage: Eukaryota; Viridiplantae; Streptophyta; Magnoliopsida; Malpighiales; Euphorbiaceae. The record is from RNAcentral.